GGAAUCUUGCACAAUGGAGGAAACUCUGAUGCAGCGAUGCCGCGUGAGUGAAGAAGGCCUUUGGGUUGUAAAGCUCUUUUGUAGGGGAAGAUAAUGACUGUACCCUAAGAAUAAGGUCCGGCUAACUUCGUGCCAGCAGCCGCGGUAAUACGAAGGGACCUAGCGUAGUUCGGAAUUACUGGGCGUAAAGCGCGCGUAGGCCGUUGAGUUAGUUAAUUGUGAAAUCCCAAAGCUUAACUUUGGAACUGCAAUUAAAACUGCUCGACUAGAGUUUGAUAGAGGAAAGCGGAAUACAUAGUGUAGAGGUGAAAUUCGUAGAUAUUAUGUAGAACACCAGUUGCGAAGGCGGCUUUCUGGAUCAACACUGACGCUGAGGCGCGAAAGUAUGGGUAGCAAAGAGGAUUAGAUACCCUCGUAGUCCAUACCAUAAACGAUGAUUGCUAGAUGUUGGAAAUUUAUUUUCAGUAUCGCAGCUAACGCAUUAAGCAAUCCGCCUGGGGAGUACGACCGCAAGGUUAAAACUCAAAUGAAUUGACGG
This 538-nucleotide ribosomal RNA is filed under the name uncultured bacterium. RNAcentral describes it as "bacterial SSU rRNA". It matches the Rfam family "Bacterial small subunit ribosomal RNA", at positions 358 to 916 of the family's 1533-position model. The record is from RNAcentral.